Molecule: long non-coding RNA, 3971 nt
Filed under: Homo sapiens (human)
Lineage: Eukaryota; Metazoa; Chordata; Mammalia; Primates; Hominidae
Description: HSALNT0354947
Source: RNAcentral
AUAUAUAUAUAUAUAUAUAUAUAUAUAUAUGAUUCUUCCUUUGUUAGAUAAUAUAUUCAUAUAAUAUAUUCAUACACUUUCACAUUCAUAUUUUAUAGAAAAAAAUUGGAGGGAUAUCUAUCAAACUAAAAGUGGUUUCCUCUAAAAGGAGAUUUUGGGUUACUAUCUACAUGAAAUGCUAUUAUUAUUACUAUUUUUUGAGACAGAGUCUUGCUGUGUGGCAGGCUGGAGUGCAGUGGUGUGAUCUCAGCUCAUUGCAACCUUUGCCUCCCCAGUUCAAGCAAUUCUCUUGCCUCAGCCUCCCGAGUAGCUGGAACUAUAGGCAUGCGCCACCACACCCGGCUAAUUUUUGUAUUUUUAGUAGAGAUGGGGUUUCACCAUGUUGGCCAGGCUGGUCUUGAACUCCUGACCUCAAGUGAUCCACCCACCUCGUCUUCCCAAAGUGCUAGGAUUACAAGCUUGAGCCACUGUGCCUGGCAGAAAUGUUUCUUAAUAUUUGCAUUUUUUUUGUUUUACAAUAUACAGUAUGACUUUUAAAUUAUGUAAUGACAAAUGUUUAUCAGCGCACACAUGCAGAUGCCUCCGUGUUUAUGAAGCCCAGGAAGCAGGGGCCUCAGCUCACAGCCACAGAACUGCCCCAUCCACGGUGUGAGUUGUGUUGGACCCUGCCCUCCCGCUGCCAACCUCUGACUUCCCACAGGCCCUCUCAUCCCAGAGUGCUGGCAGGCACUGAUAUCCUCUAUGCCUGGGUAUCAGGGGAGUCCUGGAAAAGGAGAAGGCCUGGGAAGCUCUGAUUUUGCUGUAACACAAGUGGCUGGGUGGGAAGGGUAGCUCAGGUCCCCCAGCCCUGGCCAGCCCAGCCCUCACACGGUGGGUGUUGAGUGAACGUGCUUUGCACAGGGAGUGGGAGACUGCCCCAGGGAAGAGGAACUGACCGCCCAGAUGCUGAGGGCCCAACAGCAGAAAACCCCAUACCUGGAAGCAAAUGAACCCCACAUGGGUGCUCUUAGUCACCAUCAGUAAAGCGUGGUGGCUUAAGGGCACGGACUGUGGGCUAUACCAGGAUGCUGGCUACAAGCCAUGUGUGGCCAUUUAUGGUUACAUUUUAAGUAACUGAAAAUAAAUCUGAUUUAAAGUUUGAGUCCAUGGUUGGUUGCAGUCACCACAUUUCAAGGGCCCAGCAGCUACAAGUGGCUGGGGUGGCCAUGUUGGCUGCACAGAUCAUAGAGCAUUCUCAUCGUGGGCAGCAGGAGCAGUGACUGGACAUUGCUGUGCCAAAGACACCGCCAUGGCUUCAGAUCCCGGCUCAUUGCAUGCUGGCCAUGUGUUUGCUUAAUCAGGCCCCUUAGUGUCCUGGGGCUGUGGUCUCCUCAUAGCCAAACAGGCAGUGUUACCGACCUGGUGGGCUGUUUGGUGGGUGGCGUGCGUGACACCUGAAGAUCUUGCCCACAGUACGGCCUGAACUCAGAACGGUUAUCUCAUCCUAAAAGAAGGUUUGUCCGAGGUGCCACCAAGAAACCCAAAAGAUUUUUUUUAAAGGAAUCAAAAUAAAAUGAAGUGUCCAGGUUGGGUGUGGUGGCUCACACCUGUAAUCCCACCUACUUGGGAGUCAAGGCGGGAGGAUUGCUUGAGCCCAAGACUUUGAGACCAGGCUGGGCAACAUAGUGGGACCUCAUCUCUACAAAAAAUAAAAAAAUUAGCCAAGAGUGAUGGGGUACACCUGUGGUCCCAGUCUCUUGGGAGGCUGAGGAGGAGGAUCUCUUGAGCCCAGGAGUUUGAGGCUGCAGUGAGCUAUGAUUGAGCCACUGCACUCCAGCCUGGGUGACAGCAUGAGAGCCUGUCUCAAAGAAAAAAAAAUUGAAGUGUCCAGAACUCAUACUAGAUGUCGAGAUGGCUUCAGGAUUGGGAACGUGCUCUGAGCUGUAUUGUCUAAAAUGGUAGCCACUAAGGACCCACGGCUAUUUAAAUAUAAAUUAAUUAAAAUUCAAUGAAAUCAAACUUUUAGUUCCUGGCUGUACACACAAGCCACAUUCCAGGUGCUCCAUAGAUACAUAUGGCCAGCGGCUGCCGCUCUGGACAGCACGGUCUCCAGGUGCUCAUUAGAUACACAUGGCCAGUGGCUGCCGCUCUGGACAGCACGGUCACUGAACAUUUCCAUCAUUGCAGAAAGUUCCAGUAGGCAGCAGAGAGGACAAGCCAUGUUGGCCCAUCUCCCCAGCCGGCCCUUUCUCAGGCAGGAGGGCCCCAGCUGCUGAGGUCAGUCCUUCCUCUGCUGUCUCUGUGAUCACCCACCCACUCUGACACAGACACCUCUGCUCAGCAGGCUGGGCUGGCUGAGAGUGGGGUCAACUCCAGGCCACUCCGGAAUGCUGGCCAGACUGCGUGCCACCAUGAAUGGAGAAGUCCCUGUUCCAGAAGCCGAGUCAUACAGAGGUGGGGAGCACAGGCGUCAGCUUCAGACGGCCUGGUUUACAACGAUCUCUGCUGUCAGUGACUGUGUGGCCCUUGGGCAAGUUUCUUAAACUGCCUGUGCCUCAGUUUCUUCAUCUACAAAGUAGCACAAUAGUAUCUGCCUCACAAGAGUUCUGUGACGAUACACGGAGCGAUUCCAGGUUAUGCCCAGUCUUAGAAAGCCCCAGAUAAAGGUGAGCUACCUCAUUAGCAUGACUGUGAGAGCUGCUUUCCGUGAGCAGCUGCCUCUGUCAGUGUCUGUCAUGGGCUGAACUAUGUCCCCCUCCCAAGUUCCUAUGUGGAAAUCCUAAUCCCCCCAUCCCUCAGAAUGUGGCUGUAUGUGGAGAUAGCAUCUUUAAGGAGGUAAUUAAGUUAAAAAGGGGUCAUUAGGCUGGGCCCUAAUCCAAUGUGACUGGUGUGCUUCUAAGAGGAGGGAAUUUGGACCCGGACAUGUACACAGGGAAGAUGAGGUGAAGACACAGGGAGGGAAGACAGCACCUACAAGCCAAGGAGGGAGGCCUCAGAAGUCACCAACCCUGCCAACACCUUGAUCUUGGACUUCUAGCCUAUAGAACUCCCCUGGCCUGGAUAAUUCUGAACCCCCAUCCCAACGGCUCCCUACCUCCUUCUCUCCCUCCCAGCUUUCUGGGCCCCAUAUCACACAAGCUCAGCAGCUUCCAACCACAUCACUUCCUCGACCCUCCCUGAGACAAUCUGUGCUUCCCACCACCUGCCUCCUGCACCUGGGCUGCCCCUGUUAUCCAGGUCUGCUCAGAAUUUUUUUUUUUUUUUUUUUUUUUGAGACAAAGUCUUGCUUUGUUGUCCAGGCUGGAAUGCAAUGGCGCAAUCUCGGCUCACUGCAAUCUCCGCCUCCCGGGUUCAAGCAAUUCUCCUGUCUCAGCCUCCCCCGAGUAGCUGGGAUUACAGGUGCGCACCACCACGCCUGGAUAAUUUCUUGUAUUUUUAGUAGAGACAGGGUUUCACCAUGUUGGCCAGGCUGGUCUCGAACUCCUAACCUCAAGUGAUCCACCUGCUUUGGCCUCCCAAAGUGCUGGGAUUACAGGAGUGAGCCACGGUGCCCAGCCCAGAAAUCUUAUUCCUCCUUUAAGGUCUGGCUUGAAUAUCACAACUUUUUUUUUUUUUAACUUUUUUUUUCUUCUGCAACUUUUAAGCUCAGGAGUACAUGUGCAGCACGUGCAGGUUUGUUACAAAGGUAAACAUGUGCCACGGUGGUUUGCUGCACAGAUCGUCCCAUCACCCAGGUUUGAAGCCCAGCAUCCAUUAGCUUUUCUUCCUGAUGCUCUCCCUCCCCACCACCCUCCUCCGACAGGCCUCACUGUGUUGUUCCCCUACCGACAACUUUCUUAAAGUGUCAGCCUCUUCUGGAUUCAGCAUUCUUUCUUCUUCAUUCUUAAUGUAUGUUUUUCUGCCUCUAUUAUGGCAGCAAAAGUCAUAUAAUUACGAAUGUUCACACAUUGGCCUCUCUACAAGCCUCCAAGGACCAUGCCUUGGGAUCUCUG